GUCUUAGAGAGAGACUUGAUUAUUAUGGUCCAUGUCAUUCAGGGGAUCCCACUCAACCUACCUACAAUGAUGUUCUCUUAUAUGAGGGAGGCAGCACAGAGAGUGAAAGCCUACCUACCCUAUGGCAUGACAUAAUUACUUUAGUUUUUUGAGAGUUUGAAAUGUCUCUUGAUAGGAAGACUGCAAGAUCCUUGAUACACUCUGACAUCUACAAUGAGCGAUCGCUUCACUAGAUGGGUUACCACAAGUU
Molecule: long non-coding RNA, 250 nt
Filed under: Elaeis guineensis (African oil palm)
Lineage: Eukaryota; Viridiplantae; Streptophyta; Magnoliopsida; Arecales; Arecaceae
Description: long non-coding RNA (EGUI_LNC072536)
Source: RNAcentral